This is an RNA transcript of Cervus elaphus (red deer), 689 nucleotides long. It is a transcript of the gene named mRNA turnover protein 4 homolog, with no coding region annotated. The transcript has a single exon. Lineage: Eukaryota; Metazoa; Chordata; Mammalia; Artiodactyla; Cervidae. The record is from RefSeq and is a predicted model, not a curated record.
AUGCCCAAAUCCAAGGGCAACAGGAAAGUCUUCCUAACCAAAACUGCCAAGAAAGGCUUGGAACUGAAACAGAACUUGACAGAAGAGCUUAGGAAAUGUGUGGACACAUACAAGUACCUCUUCAUCUUCUCCAUGGCUAACAUGAGGAAGAAUAAGCUGAAGGACAUCCACAGUGCCUGGAAGCACAGUCUAAUGUUUUUUGGCAAAAACAAAGUGAUGAUGGUGGACUUGGGUCAAGGCCCAUCUGAUGAGUGCAAAGAAAAUCUGCAUCAGGUCAGCAGAAAGUUGAGGAGUGAGAUUGGUCUUCUUUUUACCAGUGACACUGAGAAGGAAGUGAAUGAGUGGUUCAUGAAAUACACAGAAAUGCACUACACCUGAGGUGGGAACAAAGCUGCUUUCUGGACCUGGGACUCCUGGAGCAGUUACCAGAUUCCAUGGAGCCACACCUGAGGCAGCUGAGUCUGCCCUCGGCUCCAAAUAAAGGUGUGGUGAACCUGCUCUCUGACCACAAGGUGUGCAAAGAAGAUGAUGUGCUGACUCCAGAGCAGGCCCACAUACUGAAGCUUUUGGGGUAUUGCAUAGCUGAACUCAAGGUGAUCAUCAAAUACAUGCAGGACAUGCCUUCCAGAAGGUUCCUACAGAUGGGAGAUAGCCUUUCACAGUUAGAGGAAGUCAGUGAUGACAGCUGA